UAAGCAUAUCAAUAAGCGGAGGAAAAGAAACUAACAAGGAUUCCCCUAGUAACUGCGAGUGAAGCGGGAAAAGCUCAAAUUUAAAAUCUGGUGGUCAUUGGCCAUCCGAGUUGUAAUUUAGAGAAGCAUCUUCCGCGCUGGACCCAUGCACAAGUCUCCUGGAAUGGAGCGUCAUAGAGGGUGAGAAUCCCGUCUUUGGCAUGGACACACCAGGGCUUUUGUGAUGUGCUCUCGAAGAGUCGAGUUGUUUGGGAAUGCAGCUCAAAAUGGGUGGUGAACUCCAUCUAAAGCUAAAUAUUGGCGAGAGACCGAUAGCGAACAAGUACCGUGAGGGAAAGAUGAAAAGCACUUUGGAAAGAGAGUGAAACAGUACGUGAAAUUGUUGAAAGGGAAACGCUUGAAGUCAGUCGCGUCGACCGAGACUCAGCCUCGCCUUGGCUUGGUGUACUUCUCGGCUGACGGGUCAGCAUCAAUUUUGCCCCUUGGAUAAUGGCGAGGGAAACGUGACACCUUUUUAGGUGUGUUAUAGUCUCUCGUCGCAUGCAAGGGUCGGGAUUGAGGAACUCAGCACGCACCUUUGGGUGUCGGGGCUUUAGCCCACGAUACGUGCUUAGGAUGUUGGCGUAAUGGCUUUAAACGACCCGUCUUGAAACACGGACCAAGGAGUCUAACAUGCCCGCGAGUGUUUGGGUGGAAAACCCAUUCGCGCAAUGAAAGUGAAAGUUGGGACCUCUGUCGUGGAGGGCACCGACACCCGGACCAGACCUUCUGUGACGGAUCUGCGGUAGAGCGUGUAUGUUAGGACCCGAAAGAUGGUGAACUAUGCCUGAAUAGGGUGAAGCCAGAGGAAACUCUGGUGGAGGCUCGUAGCGAUUCUGACGUGCAAAUCGAUCGUCAAAUUUGGGUAUAGGGGCGAAAGACUAAUCGAACCAUCUAGUAGCUGG
Molecule: ribosomal RNA, 944 nt
Filed under: Russula osphranticarpa
Lineage: Eukaryota; Fungi; Basidiomycota; Agaricomycetes; Russulales; Russulaceae
Description: partial large subunit ribosomal RNA
Rfam family: Eukaryotic large subunit ribosomal RNA
Source: RNAcentral